GCAUCUUAAAAGGCAGCUGGACAGAGAUGACUUGAGUGUUAGAGGACCAUACUUAUCUUGGGAGUGCCACAAAGUAGAACCUCUAAGAAUCUUCAAGGUCCUCUCUGAUAGGCCAAGACCACAGAAUGUCCUUGCUUACAGUGCUGAUGUAAUAAUAAGGCCUAAGCCAGAACUCUAGUCUAGUUCAGGGGCUUAAUGAAAAGGUUGUGUGAGCUACAGGGCUAGGGGAAAUGAAGACCAACACUAUAAUCCACAUGGCAGGCACAAUUCAAUCCAAGUACUGAAUAUUAGGUGAUAAUAUAUAAGGAGGAGGACUCGACUCUCCCCAUAUAUCUGUGGAUCUCAGGGGUUGAACCCAUGUCAUCGGGCUUAGGAGCAAGAGCCUUUACUUAUUUGAGCCAUGUAGCAAGCCGUUAUAUUUUCAGCUUUUCUUUAUUUCAUAUAAAACAAGCCACGUACAUUGAAAUAUUUUACAAUAAACUACAUCUUGCUCAAAA
Molecule: non-coding RNA, 497 nt
Organism: Rattus norvegicus (Norway rat)
Lineage: Eukaryota; Metazoa; Chordata; Mammalia; Rodentia; Muridae
Source: RefSeq, a predicted model, not a curated record